Molecule: ribosomal RNA, 495 nt
Filed under: uncultured bacterium
Lineage: Bacteria
Description: bacterial SSU rRNA
Rfam family: Bacterial small subunit ribosomal RNA
Source: RNAcentral
GACGAACGCUGGCGGCGUGCCUAACACAUGCAAGUCGAGCGGAGAUUUCUUUGGCACUGAGUACUCUAGUAAAGACGCAAAGGAAGCGUCAUGAAGAAACAACAUAGAUGUUAAAAACACUGAUAAAAGUUUCUUCAUCACGCGUUUUUAAAGUGCCAACACAAAGAGGGAAGGAUAAGUAGAGUAUUGAGUGCCAAAGAAAUCUUAGCGGCGGACGGGUGAGUAACACGUGGGCAACCUGCCUUGAAGUGGGGGAUAACACCGGGAAAUCGGUGCUAAUACCGCAUAACAUACACAAACUGCAUGGUAAGUGUAUCAAAGGAGCAAUCCGCUUUAAGAUGGGCCCGCGGCUGAUUAGCUAGUUGGUAAGGUAACGGCUUACCAAGGCGACGAUCAGUAGCCGACCUGAGAGGGUGACCGGCCACACUGGAACUGAGACACGGUCCAGACUCCUACGGGAGGCAGCAGUGGGGAAUAUUGCACAAUGGGCGAAAG